CUCUUAUCAAGAGAGGCUGAGGGACUGGCCCUGAGACGCCCAGCAACCUGCACAAUAUGAUGCAAGGUGCUAAUUCCUGCAAAGUGCAAUCACUUUGAAAGAUAACAA
This 108-nucleotide non-coding RNA is filed under the name Virgibacillus sp. RNAcentral's name for it is "SAM-I sequence". It matches the Rfam family "SAM riboswitch aptamer (S box leader)". From Rfam's summary of the family: The SAM riboswitch is found upstream of a number of genes which code for proteins involved in methionine or cysteine biosynthesis in Gram-positive bacteria. The SAM riboswitch acts at the level of transcription termination control. The record is from RNAcentral. RNAcentral also lists the same sequence under 1 other name. Lineage: Bacteria; Bacillati; Bacillota; Bacilli; Caryophanales; Bacillaceae.